CGCACGCUUCAGGUCGGCCUCGGCCCACAGAUACUCAAGGAUGAUUGGGAAAUGCAAAAUGAGACUUGUUGUCACUCCCCGUGCUCACAACCGAUUGUCCCAACGAAGAACCCCGAGUCUCAUUCCCACCAUCCAUCGGGGACAUAUAGAACGCAGCUAUCCCGAAUGGAUUCUUUGGUAUAUAUGAGAAUGAAAUGUUUUG
Molecule: long non-coding RNA, 202 nt
Filed under: Amborella trichopoda
Lineage: Eukaryota; Viridiplantae; Streptophyta; Magnoliopsida; Amborellales; Amborellaceae
Description: long non-coding RNA (ATRI_LNC001689)
Source: RNAcentral